GACGAACGCUGGCGGCGUGCUUAACACAUGCAAGUCGAACGGAAAGGCCCUGCUUUUGUGGGGUGCUCGAGUGGCGAACGGGUGAGUAACACGUGAGUAACCUGCCCUUGACUUUGGGAUAACUUCAGGAAACUGGGGCUAAUACCGGAUAGGAGCUCCUGCUGCAUGGUGGGGGUUGGAAAGUUUCGGCGGUUGGGGAUGGACUCGCGGCUUAUCAGCUUGUUGGUGGGGUAGUGGCUUACCAAGGCUUUGACGGGUAGCCGGCCUGAGAGGGUGACCGGCCACAUGGGGACUGAGAUACGGCGCAGACUCCUACGGGAGGCAGCAGUGGGGAAUAUUGCACAGUGGGCGGAAGCCAGAUGCAGCAACGCCGCGUGCGGGAUGACGGCCUUCGGGUUGUAAACCGCUUUCGCCUGUGACGAAGCGUGAGUGACGGUAAUGGGUAAAGAAGCACCGGCUAACUACGUG
RNAcentral lists this ribosomal RNA (468 nucleotides) under uncultured bacterium. RNAcentral's name for it is "partial 16S ribosomal RNA". It matches the Rfam family "Bacterial small subunit ribosomal RNA", at positions 28 to 507 of the family's 1533-position model. The record is from RNAcentral.